RNAcentral lists this ribosomal RNA (497 nucleotides) under uncultured bacterium. RNAcentral's name for it is "partial 16S ribosomal RNA". It matches the Rfam family "Bacterial small subunit ribosomal RNA", at positions 28 to 507 of the family's 1533-position model. The record is from RNAcentral.
GAUGAACGCUGGCGGCGUGCCUAAUACAUGCAAGUCGAGCGAACAGACGAGGAGCUUGCUCCUCUAACGUUAGCGGCGGGCGGGUGAGUAACACGUGGAUAACCUACCUAUAAGACUGGGAUAACUUCGGGAAACCGGAGCUAAUACCGGAUAAUAUAUUGAACCGCAUGGUUCAAUAGUGAAAGACGGUUUUGCUGUCACUUAUAGAUGGAUCCGCGCCGCAUUAGCUAGUUGGUAAGGUAACGGCUUACCAAGGCAACGAUGCGUAGCCGACCUGAGAGGGUGAUCGGCCACACUGGAACUGAGACACGGUCCAGACUCCUACGGGAGGCAGCAGUAGGGAAUCUUCCGCAAUGGGCGAAAGCCUGACGGAGCAACGCCGCGUGAGUGAUGAAGGUCUUCGGAUCGUAAAACUCUGUUAUUAGGGAAGAACAAAUGUGUAAGUAACUAUGCACGUCUUGACGGUACCUAAUCAGAAAGCCACGGCUAACUACGUG